AUUAAUAUAAGACCAAUAAUAGAAUUAGAGAUGAAAGAAGUUUUUUUAAUGUCGCGGUUCCUCAGUUAGAACUAAGUAUACAGAAAUACUAAUAUAAUAUAUUUAAAAGGUAUUUUUUUUACUAAUAUAACAUGAAUAUGAAAUGAUACAAUAACGUAAAGGUUAAAAAUGGUUUCAUAAAUUGCAGAGAUAUAAUUGUAUAAUAUAAUUAAUUAAAGGAGUUCCUAGAAGUGGCCACGUGGAUGUGUGCAUAAAGAAUGUGGCGUGUGGGUCUCGUCUUUCGAUCACGGCCCAAUUCAAUUCUAACCCACUUCAUGGGGUUUAGGGGAUNGGGGUUUUAUAAAAGCCCACUCCGAGGUGGGUAAAAAAAAAUGAGCUUAUUAUAAAGAAGGUCGAUUAAAAUAAAAAUUGACAGCUCUAUAUUCAGGAAUGGGUAGAAAGAGCGAGAGAGCAAGCAGCAUGAGUGGCGGAGGAGAAGGAGAGAGUCUGGAGUUCACUCCCACGAAGGAAGCGUCGCCGACGCGGAAGAGGUCUCGAAGAAGGGUGGUUGGAGAAUCCUCUCUUGAAGAUUAAAGAAGGUUUCUUUUUCUUUUCUUUUCUUUUCUUUUCUCUUCCUGAGUUCUAUACUCCCUUUUUCAUCAUCAACUCAAUAAGCAGCAUGAGUGGCGGAGGAGAAGGAGAGAGUCUGGAGUUUACUCCCACNAAGGAAGCGUCGCCGGCGCGGAUGAGGUCUUGAAGAAGCGGGUGGUUGGAGAAUCCUCUCUUGAAGGUUAAAGAAGGGUUCUUUUUCUUUUCUUUUCUCUUUUUUAUUUUAUUUUAUUUUCUUUUCCCUUCCUGGGUUCUAUGCUCCCUUUCCCAUCAUCAACUCAAUUAUUUUCUUUUUUUUUUUCUCUUUCCCCGCUUUUCUCUGUUCAUGCUAUCACUCUCUUUCUAUAUUCGGAUUCGUCAAUGGAAACACUGGGAAGAUUCAAUUGCAAAAAAGAAAUACGAAACCGACCAAGGUACAUUAUUUCUUUUCUUUUCUUUCUUCAAUUCUUUCUUUCUGCAUCCUCCUCUAUCCAUCUUCAAUUACUUUUAUCAUUCCUCUGCAUUUUUUUUUAUUGUUGAUAAAUAUAACAUGCUUUAUGCUUUUGGUAUCGCCUCAUUUUACUGUGUCAACUAAAGCAUCACACCUUUGCAAAGAAUUUUCUAGUUGUUUUUGAAUCUUUUUAUUUCCUCGCNGGGAGCAGCGUUGGACUUUUAGUACAAAUGCCAAUGUAAUCGCUUACAACAUGACCGUAAUCGAUUAGAAUUGCAAACACUAAAUACAGACCUGGUAAAUAACAAAGUCAUUAGCAACAGCACAUUGGGAAGCCCUUCUCUAGCAGGGGCAGGGAGCAGCGUUGGACUUUUUGUACAAAUGCCA
This 1405-nucleotide long non-coding RNA is filed under the name Vigna radiata. RNAcentral describes it as "long non-coding RNA (VRAD_LNC004179)". Lineage: Eukaryota; Viridiplantae; Streptophyta; Magnoliopsida; Fabales; Fabaceae. The record is from RNAcentral.